This is a long non-coding RNA of Phascolarctos cinereus (koala), 255 nucleotides long. RefSeq lists it as uncharacterized. Lineage: Eukaryota; Metazoa; Chordata; Mammalia; Diprotodontia; Phascolarctidae. The record is from RefSeq and is a predicted model, not a curated record.
UAAGAAGCUCUGGGUGAGACAGACUCACUGCCUGGCCGAGAGAAGUCUGAGAGCCAAGGGAGGCCGGGGGCUACAAGUAGACAGAGAGGAGGAAGAGGUCCAACCCCUGGUGAUCUAGGACUCCGGCCAGGCCAAGACCUGCCCACCACCAUCACCACCAUCAUCCAGUCUCCACUGGCCCUAAGACCCCUGCUCUCUCCAUGGUACUUCAGAGGCAAUGGCGUUAAGUGACUCGCCGAGGGUCAACAGCUAGUA